CUCCUGGCUGCUCUCACAUGUGUGAGCGCUGUGACUGUGGUGACACAGCAGCCUUCUGUAGUGACGCUGACCAGAGGAGAGAAGGCCUUCAUCGACUGUAACCUGGGGAGCGUUAAUAAUUCUGCUGCUCGCUGAUGGUGGCACAGUGUGAAGCCUUCAUGAACCACCAUUUUAUAACAUUCUCACAUGACUGAUUAUUUGACGAAAACCUUCCUGGACACUUAUGUGAACUGUGCUGCUGUGACGUCAUGUGGCAUGUGUCUCAAGGAUGUUUACAGGUAGGCUAAAGGGGAUUGAGCCCAGAACCUUUUGGUAGGGGUCUACCUGCAGUCACUGGAUUACCUAACAAAUACAUGAAAUUGAAUCAUUCAGGGGUUAUAUGUGAUACUGUUUGGGCAAGUGGCUGAUGGAAAUCACACAGGAUUUAGGUUUUGCAACGAGAAAAAUAAAAGAAAGAGCUGAGAUUUAUAAACCCUUUCAUUCGUACUCUACAGUAAUUUGACCUGUAGUAUUUUUAUGAAUGAAGUGCAUGUUGGAAGACGGGAGUUUAUUGGGAUUCAGGAGACAGGUGUGAUCAAUACUUCCUGACCUCUACUCCUCUGGUUAGUCUUGGACUCAUACAUCUAUUCUACAUGAACCCUUUGGGAUGCUGCUCCUUUGGUUGAUCAAUAAUAUUACUGAAGAGGCUAAGUCAUUGAAUUUCUUGUUACUAUAAUAUAAUAUAGAGGAAGAGGUGUAUCUGUUAUUCUUCAAUAACCCCACUUCAUAAAAGCCUCACUUCUGCUUCAAGUUCUUCAUGGUAACGUUAUGUUGAAGAGAUAUUUUUUGUAUUUUUUGCUGAAAACUCAAUGUAGCGAUAGUCGGCACUCAUUUAACCAUUUACCGCAAUUUGUGUUUAUCUAUAGAUGGAGACAAGUAAACGUUGGACUUCCGUGGAUCUUUCACCUACCAAAGGAACUGGAUGGUGAAUCAAAGAUGAACAAAAUGACCUAUCUUGUUUGUAUUUACUGGAAAUGGCAUUUUAAUUGACGAUGUGGCAAGGACAAAUUCUUACUUGGACUUCACUGGAUGAAAACGGUUUCUACCUGUUAUUCCUGGGAAAGGCAUCACAUGGAGGGUGGCUCCACUGCCUUCAACAAGUCAGGAGGUUUUUGUACGGCCAUGUAUACAAACUGAAUCACUGUGGUAUUCGGCAGAGGCACCAAGGUGAUCGUUACUGGCUCCAGCCUCCCUCCUCCUGUCCUGACAGUCUACCGUCCUUCCACCAAUCCCCUCUCGUCCAGCCAUGCCGCUCUGGUCUGUCUGGCACGGCAGAUGUCUAUCGGCUUCGCAGAGGUGAGCUGGCUGGUCAACGGGAGUCC
This is an RNA transcript of Gadus macrocephalus (Pacific cod), 1361 nucleotides long. It is a transcript of the gene named immunoglobulin lambda-1 light chain-like, with no coding region annotated. The transcript has 4 exons. The record is from RefSeq and is a predicted model, not a curated record. Lineage: Eukaryota; Metazoa; Chordata; Actinopteri; Gadiformes; Gadidae.